RNAcentral lists this long non-coding RNA (945 nucleotides) under Callithrix jacchus (white-tufted-ear marmoset). RNAcentral's name for it is "lncRNA (ENSCJAG00000078894.1)". The record is from RNAcentral. Lineage: Eukaryota; Metazoa; Chordata; Mammalia; Primates; Cebidae.
AAUAUAUACACACAUAUUUAUAAUAUUUCUCUGUAUAUGACUCUGUAACUACAUAAAGUUAAAUAUGAACAUGUACGCAUGUCUCCAACUUCAAUCCACUAACACAUAGCUCAUUCUAGUCUCAUUUCCUUGCUUAUCUAUAACCUUCAUGGCCAAAAUGAAGAAAACCAGCUCUUGCAAUCCAAAUAUACAUAUUUAUAUUUUUAAUUCCAGUAUACCUGUAUAGUAUCACAAUUAUCAACGCAAAUCCACAUAACCUAUUGACAUAUUUUCUAAAUUAGACUCCACUGUGUUUGUGCAGCUCCUUUCAUCUUACAUCUAACAAAUUCUAUUACCUUUCAAAAUGAUUUAUUUUGGCAUAGUUUUAUUCCAACUCCUUAAGUAAAAUUGUUUCAUGCAUUUAAAAAUAGUGAUAGAUUUUCUUAUCACAGUCAGGAUUCCUUUCAGAAAUGCCCUAACCUUCCAAUCUUAAGAUUUGCAUAAGAUAAGAUGCACUCUUUUUGCUUUAAUGUUCUGUGCUUUUAACAAAUGCAUGAUUUUUUGUUCCUACUGAUACAAGUUAUUUUCCUGACCCCUUUGCAGGACUUGUGAUGGGUGCCUCGUUUACUUACUCCUAGCAGGAGGAAACACGUGAGCAACCAAGUGCGAGAACUGGAGUGAAGGAGCACUGAAUUCACCUGACCGCUUUGGUGCCAGAGGGACCAAACUCCACUUACCUGCAUCUGCUGCGUUCCACCCCUUGCAAUGGGGAGUACACAGAGUCUCAUUCUGUCUCCCAGCUUGGAGUGCAAUGGCACGAUAUCAACUCACUGGAACUUCCAUCCCCUGGUUUCAAAUGAUUUUCCUGCUUCAGCCUCCAGAGUGUCUGGUAUGACAAGCGUGAGCCACUACAGUCAGCUAGUUUUUGUAUUUGCAGUGGAGACAGGGUUUUGCCUUGUUGGCUAG